UACGUAGGGGGCUAGCGUUGUCCGGAUUUAUUGGGCGUAAAGAGCUCGUAGGUGGUUCGGUAAGUCGGAUGUGAAAUCUCCGGGCUUAACCCGGAGCGGCCAAGUGAUACUGUUGUGCUAGAGUGCGGAAGGGGCUACUGGAAUUCUCGGUGUAGCGGUGAAAUGCGUAGAUAUCGAGAGGAACACCUGCGGCGAAGGCGGGUUGCUGGGCUGACACUGACGCUGAUGCGCGAAAGCUAGGGGAGCGAACGGG
Molecule: ribosomal RNA, 253 nt
Filed under: uncultured bacterium
Lineage: Bacteria
Description: partial 16S ribosomal RNA
Rfam family: Bacterial small subunit ribosomal RNA
Source: RNAcentral